Strigops habroptila (Kakapo) is the source of this 1513-nucleotide long non-coding RNA. RefSeq lists it as uncharacterized. NCBI's taxonomy places the organism in Eukaryota, Metazoa, Chordata, Aves, Psittaciformes, Psittacidae. The record is from RefSeq and is a predicted model, not a curated record. The transcript has 3 exons.
GAGGAGCCGUUACGGCGGCCGCACGGCAGGCAGUGCCGAAACGGCGGAAACGAACGAAAAGGAGAGAAUAAUGGUGUAGAUGUGAGAAUACGCAGAGAAGCGCUUGUGCCAGCCUCAGCCCCUUCAACCUCCCGUGGUGGGGGUAAGUGGGGCUGCCUCGCGUUCAUUUGUGCUGUUCCUAUAAUAACCUUCAUUACAGGAAGUUAGAGGUAAAAACAUACAUCUGAAAAUCAGACACACCAACUUUGCAGUUGUUAUGGGGGAGAUGGAGGCUGCCUUUACCAGAAACAAGAGGCAGAAACAGGCCAUAGGCCAGAGUUGGAACACUUACUCGUUGCUGCCAGGGAUUUCAGUGAUUCGAAGAGAUCUGGACUAGAAAACUUGACCAGACAUCUGAAUGGUUGUUUUCGAUGCAAAACACCCAUUUUAGGAUCACUUUCAAACAUCGUCUCAAGCUGUUAACAUAAAAUUUAACCAGGGAGUAUAAGCAAUAAAUAUUUUAUGUAUUAUUUAAACAUUAAAAAUGUAAUAUGUAGUAAGACUGUUAUCUUAUUUAUCACUUGUAAUGUUAAUGUGCUUCCAGCUGCAGGAAUGUUCUAAUGAAAUCAGAGGAUGCCACCAUGUGGUCAACAGUUUUCUGCUGAAAGAGGCAGCUUGGCGAGUAAAACUGGGAAAAGAAGAGAAAAAACGAAGACAACUUUGUCAGCUGAUACAAUACUGCUUUUCUCACCAGAUUAGUGAAAAUCUGAAAAUAAUAAUUUUAGCUAGCUUAGCAAAAAUGGAUCGUGAUGAAUUCUUUGUCUCCAUCAUUUGUAUUUUCAUUCCUUGCCAAGAGAAAAACCCAAACUAAUGAAUCUCACUUCAUAAGCCAGCAGAAACGACAUUCAAACUGCUGUUUAAUUUAAAAUACACAUACCACUUUCUGGUUCUACACUGUGUUCUUGUAGAGCUUCAGGAUAAUAAGUUUGGAAGUUCUAAAUGGAGAGAAAAAAAAAUGUUUAGUUCACUUCCACUUUUAGAGGCUGUAGCUGAAAAGAUUUCCACAUUUUACUUCAUUCUGAAAGUGAGCAUCCUUCCAAUUUUUGACAAUUGCUACAAGUCAGAAAGCCCAGCUUUAAGAAAAGAUCACCUUUGUGAACAUCUCCCUAUUUGCAGGUUUUACAUGGAUGAGCAGAGUAAGCACCUAUUCCAGUAGCCUUCACCUCAUUGCUCUAGGAAGCCUAGUGAAAUGAUGCCAAGAAAUCCUAGGACUAGAUUGUUCAUACAAUUUUUAGACUGAGUUUAACCAUCAGUAAUAACAACAAAGAGUAGGUGGGAUGUUAAGUAAUUACAUCCCUACUGUAAUGUUACCUUAAUAAAAAAAGGUUGUCCAUCUCAGUAGUUCAAUAUUAUUUUAACUUGAUGGCCUCUUGUAAGAGGUGAAUUUUCCCCCUUGCUUGGGGUUGAGAACUAGGCCUGAAAUAAAAGGCAAGAUUUAUCUUAGGAUAUAUUUAUGAAGUGGCUCACCUGGCUA